UAAGUCUACACCAACACCCACUCAAGAGUCCACCACUGGAAAAAAGAGGGGUAGAGGUCAUUAUGAAAGAACAAGCACCAGUAAGACUGGUACAAGAAGAGGUGCAGGAAGUGGUUACAAGAAGAGGCCUAAAGUUGUUGGACAAGGUGUAUUUGUUGCUGAUACUGGAUAUACGUGUAUUAAUCAAGGAUUGUCUAGCAGAAGGAGGGUUAAUACUGGUGUGGUGAGUU
Long non-coding RNA from Solanum pennellii, 230 nucleotides. RefSeq lists it as uncharacterized. NCBI's taxonomy places the organism in Eukaryota, Viridiplantae, Streptophyta, Magnoliopsida, Solanales, Solanaceae. The transcript is spliced from 3 exons. The record is from RefSeq and is a predicted model, not a curated record.